RNAcentral lists this ribosomal RNA (440 nucleotides) under uncultured bacterium. Its description in RNAcentral is "partial 16S ribosomal RNA". It matches the Rfam family "Bacterial small subunit ribosomal RNA", at positions 338 to 795 of the family's 1533-position model. The record is from RNAcentral.
CCUACGGGUGGCAGCAGUAGGGAAUAUUGCUCAAUGGGGGAAACCCUGAAGCAGCAACGCCGCGUGGAGGAUGAAGGUUUUCGGAUUGUAAACUCCUUUUGUUAGAGAAGAUAAUGACGGUAUCUAACGAAUAAGCACCGGCUAACUCCGUGCCAGCAGCCGCGGGAAUACGGAGGGUGCAAGCGUUACUCGGAAUCACUGGGCGUAAAGAGCGCGUAGGCGGGAUAGCAAGUCAGAUGUGAAAACCUAUGGUUUAAACAUAGAACUGCAUUUGAAACUGGUAAUCUAGAGUAUGGGAGAGGUAAGUGGAAUUCUUGGUGUAGGGGUAAAAUCCGUAGAGAUAAAGAAGAAUACUCAAGGCGAAGGCAACCUACUAGAUCAUAACUGACGCUGAGGGGCGAAAGCGUGGGGAGCAAACAGGAUUAGAUACCCCAGUAGUC